Molecule: non-coding RNA, 74 nt
Organism: Nowakowskiella sp. JEL0407
Lineage: Eukaryota; Fungi; Chytridiomycota; Chytridiomycetes; Cladochytriales; Nowakowskiellaceae
Source: the annotation of a GenBank genome assembly
GGCCUUGUAGCUCAGUUGGAUAGAGCGUCGCACUUCUAAUGCGAAAGUCCUGGGUUCGAGCCCCAGCUAGGCCU